GUUUGUAAAACUUAAAAUAAACAAUAUUUUCAGCAUAAAAUAAUUAAGUUUGUAAUAUGUACUUGUAUUGCUGAGUUGAUAACUCAUUUUAAUAAGUCUUUCAAAAUUAAAAUAAAGAAUACUGCCUUGACAUAAUUAUAUAUCGAUUUUGAACACACACUUUUACCUUCUCGUAACAACAGAAAAAUAUUAAGUUAGUGAAACUUGGAUAUCUAGUGAGCAUCCUUUAAAUGCUGAGUAAAGGCGGAAUUUGCCCGGACGUGUUUUUCUGCCAGAGAAGGACUACUAGGAGCCGGAGAAACAGGAGAAUCGAGGCUAUAUAGGAUGAUGAGGUGCCACAAAUUUUGACCCAGCCAACGGCAGUAUUAUUAUUGAGGGAACGGAAGUCCUGCAAGACCUGGAUGUAUCCAGAGCCUGUGCCCUGCUAGGGCUGGUAUAUGCUCUCAACCUCAGCUACCCAAAGGAACUAAAAAAUACUUUUGAGGUGUUUCAGAAAAUAAUUCUUGAGCUGGAUGGUCUGAAAGCUAGGCCGAAGGUAAUGUCUUUAAACAAUAAACUGUUGUAUUCCUGAAA
Long non-coding RNA from Tachysurus fulvidraco (yellow catfish), 573 nucleotides. RefSeq lists it as uncharacterized. The transcript has 2 exons. Lineage: Eukaryota; Metazoa; Chordata; Actinopteri; Siluriformes; Bagridae. The record is from RefSeq and is a predicted model, not a curated record.